CCUACGGGAGGCAGCAGUUAGGAAUUUUGGGCAAUGGGCGAAAGCCUGACCCAGCAACGCCGCGUGGGCGAUGAAGGCCUUCGGGUCGUAAAGCCCUUUUCUGUGGGACGAUAAUGACGGUACCACAGGAAUAAGCCACGGCUAACUACGUGCCAGCAGCCGCGGUAAUACGUAGGUGGCUAGCGUUAUCCGGAUUCACUGGGCGUAAAGAGCGCGUAGGCGGUGUGCUAAGUUGGACGUGAAAGCCCCCGGCUUAACCGGGGGAGGUCGUCCAAUACUGGUGCACUUGAGGGUGGACGGGGAAAGCGGAAUUCCCGGUGUAGUGGUGAAAUGCGUAGAUAUCGGGAGGACCACCAGGGGCGAAGGCGGCCUUCGGGUCUGCCCCUGACACUCAGGCGCGAAAGCGUGGGGAGCAAACAGGAUUAGAUCCCCUGGUAGU
Molecule: ribosomal RNA, 439 nt
Filed under: uncultured bacterium
Lineage: Bacteria
Description: partial 16S ribosomal RNA
Rfam family: Bacterial small subunit ribosomal RNA
Source: RNAcentral